RNAcentral lists this ribosomal RNA (254 nucleotides) under uncultured bacterium. Its description in RNAcentral is "partial 16S ribosomal RNA". It matches the Rfam family "Bacterial small subunit ribosomal RNA", at positions 524 to 776 of the family's 1533-position model. The record is from RNAcentral.
AACGUAGGAGACAAACGUUAUCCGGAUUUACUGGGCGUAAAGGGCGCGUAGGCGGCAAUUCAAGUCAUCUGUGAAAUCUCCGGGCUUAACUCGGAACGGUCAGAUGAUACUGCUUUGCUAGAGUGCGGAAGGGCAAUCGGAAUUCUUGGUGUAGCGGUGAAAUGCGUAGAUAUCAGGAGGAACACCGGUGGCGAAGGCGGGUCUCUGGGCCGUAACUGACGCUGGAGGAGCGAAAGCCGUGGGGAGCGAACAGG